GAUUAACGCUAGCGGAAGGCAUAAUACAUGCAAGUCGAACGGGAUAGAACUUAGCAAUAGGUUCUUGAGAGUGGCGCACGGGUGCGUAACACGUAUGCAACCUACCUUUAACUGGGGGAUAGCCUCUCGAAAGAGAGAUUAAUACCCCAUAGUAUAACUGAAGAGCAUUUUUUGGUUAUUAAAGAUUUAUCGGUUAAAGAUGGGCAUGCGGCUGAUUAGGUAGUUGGUGAGGUAAUGGCUCACCAAGCCAACGAUCAGUAGGGGGUCUGAGAGGAUGUCCCCCCCACACUGGUACUGAGACACGGACCAGACUCCUACGGGAGGCAGCAGUAGGGAAUAUUGGACAAUAGGGGCAACCCUGAUCCAGCCAUUCCGCGUGCAGGAAUAAGGCCCUAUGGGUCGUAAACUGCUUUUGUAUGGGAAAAAAUCAUCUUACGUGUAGGAUGUUGAUGGUACCAUGAGAAUAAGGAUCGGCUAACUUCGUG
Molecule: ribosomal RNA, 485 nt
Filed under: uncultured bacterium
Lineage: Bacteria
Description: bacterial SSU rRNA
Rfam family: Bacterial small subunit ribosomal RNA
Source: RNAcentral